This 470-nucleotide long non-coding RNA is filed under the name Chloebia gouldiae (Gouldian finch). Its description in RNAcentral is "Erythrura gouldiae (Gouldian finch) lncRNA (ENSEGOG00005005254.1)". Lineage: Eukaryota; Metazoa; Chordata; Aves; Passeriformes; Passeridae. The record is from RNAcentral.
AACUGAACUCAUUACCAUAAAGAUGCUGAUUUACUCAUAAAGAUGCUUCAGGCCAGACCACACAGAAUGUCGUCCAGCUGUUAUCCUGCUCCCUUUCAAGAUGAUGUCAGAUGCCUCCUUCCUGGUGCCAGGCUCCCAGUUUCCAAGUCUCCUGCCACAGAGCUCCAUGACUCUCCCAGUCUCCGCUUCCCUGCAGUCAGAUGUAAUGAUCUCACAGUCCUGACUAAACUUCAGUUCUUCUGCCUCCACCAGCAUAGUGGUGUCCAUCAGCAAACAGCCUUGCUAAAGCAGAGCCUGGUCUCAAAACAAAGGCAAGUGGAAAAGGCCCCACAACAAAAUAGUUAUCUAUGUAAGUUUGUCUGUCUGCCUCCCACAAAGGCUGAGUGAUGCCUGCUUCUCUGACUCCAGAACCUCUCUCCACACUGUCCUGUGCCCAGUGGCAGCUCCUGACCACUGACUGCAUCCCUGGG